CCUGGCUCAGGACGAACGCUGGCGGCGUGCUUACACACGCAAGUCGAACGGAAAGGCCCUGCUUUUGUGGGUGCUCGAGUGGCGAACGGGUGAGUAACACGUGAGUAACCUGCCCUUGACUUUGGGAUAACUUCAGGAAACUGGGGCUAAUACCGGAUAGGAGCUCCUGCUGCAUGGUGGGGGUUGGAAAGUUUCGGCGGUUGGGGAUGGACUCGCGGCUUAUCAGCUUGUUGGUGGGGUAGUGGCUUACCAAGGCUUUGACGGGUAGCCGGCCUGAGAGGGUGACCGGCCACAUUGGGACUGAGAUACGGCCCAGACUCCUACGGGAGGCAGCAGUGGGGAAUAUUGCACAAUGGGCGGAAGCCUGAUGCAGCAACGCCGCGUGCGGGAUGACGGCCUUCGGGUUGUAAACCGCUUUCGCCUGUGACGAAGCGUGAGUGACGGUAAUGGGUAAAGAAGCACCGGCUAACUACGUGCCAGCAGCCGCGGUGAUACGUAGGGUGCGAGCGUUGUCCGGAUUUAUUGGGCGUAAAGGGCUCGUAGGUGGUUGAUCGCGUCGGAAGUGUAAUCUUGGGGCUUAACCCUGAGCGUGCUUUCGAUACGGGUUGACUUGAGGAAGGUAGGGGAGAAUGGAAUUCCUGGUGGAGCGGUGGAAUGCGCAGAUAUCAGGAGGAACACCAGUGGCGAAGGCGGUUCUCUGGGCCUUUCCUGACGCUGAGGAGCGAAAGCGUGGGGAGCGAACAGGCUUAGAUACCCUGGUAGUCCACGCUGUAAACGGUGGGUACUAGGUGUGGGGUCCAUUCCACGGGUUCCGUGCCGUAGCUAACGCUUUAAGUACCCCGCCUGGGGAGUACGGCCGCAAGGCUAAAACUCAAAGGAAUUGACGGGGCCCCGCACAAGCGGCGGAGCAUGCGGAUUAAUUCGAUGCAACGCGUAGAACCUUACCUGGGUUUGACAUGGAUCGGGAGUGCUCAGAGAUGGGUGUGCCUCUUUUGGGGUCGGUUCACAGGUGGUGCAUGGCUGUCGUCAGCUCGUGUCGUGAGAUGUUGGGUUAAGUCCCGCAACGAGCGCAACCCUUGUUCACUGUUGCCAGCACGUUAUGGUGGGGACUCAGUGGAGACCGCCGGGGUCAACUCGGAGGAAGGUGGGGAUGACGUCAAGUCAUCAUGCCCCUUAUGUCCAGGGCUUCACGCAUGCUACAAUGGCUGGUACAGAGAGUGGCGAGCCUGUGAGGGUGAGCGAAUCUCGGAAAGCCGGUCUCAGUUCGGAUUGGGGUCUGCAACUCGACCUCAUGAAGUCGGAGUCGCUAGUAAUCGCAGAUCAGCAACGCUGCGGUGAAUACGUUCCAGGGGCUUGCACUCACCGCCCGUCAAG
RNAcentral lists this ribosomal RNA (1374 nucleotides) under uncultured bacterium. Its description in RNAcentral is "bacterial SSU rRNA". It matches the Rfam family "Bacterial small subunit ribosomal RNA". The record is from RNAcentral.